Molecule: unclassified non-coding RNA, 18 nt
Filed under: Mus musculus (house mouse)
Lineage: Eukaryota; Metazoa; Chordata; Mammalia; Rodentia; Muridae
Description: oocyte_clustered_small_RNA6434
Source: RNAcentral
UGGAAUGGCCACCAAGAA